This 292-nucleotide ribosomal RNA is filed under the name uncultured bacterium. RNAcentral describes it as "partial 16S ribosomal RNA". It matches the Rfam family "Bacterial small subunit ribosomal RNA", at positions 505 to 796 of the family's 1533-position model. The record is from RNAcentral.
GUGUCAGCAGCCGCGGUAAUACAGAGGGCGCAAGCGUUAUUCGGAUUCACUGGGCAUAAAGAGCACGUAGGCGGCUACGUAAGUCGGAUGUGAAAUCCCGCGGCUCAACCGCGGAAUGGCAUCCGAUACUGCGUGGCUCGAGGUCGGAAGGGGUAAGCGGAACUCCAGGUGGAACGGUGAAAUGUGUAGAUAUCUGGAGGAACACCGGUGGCGAAGGCGGCUUACUGGUCCGAAUCUGACGCUGAGGUGCGAAAGCUAGGGGAGCGAACGGGAUUAGAAACCCCUGUAGUCC